This is a long non-coding RNA of Strongylocentrotus purpuratus (purple sea urchin), 580 nucleotides long. RefSeq lists it as uncharacterized. NCBI's taxonomy places the organism in Eukaryota, Metazoa, Echinodermata, Echinoidea, Camarodonta, Strongylocentrotidae. The record is from RefSeq and is a predicted model, not a curated record. The transcript has 3 exons.
GACUCAUACGCAUGGCAGAAAGCUGUUGAGACUGGACAGCUGAACAUAGAGCCUAACAGAUAUCUCUACAAAGGACCAUACCAUGCCUCUCUAGGGAUUUACCUCCUGAGAAUGACUAGACUACUACGUGGCCUGGGGAGACUUGAAGAAGCUAGAAAAUAUCUCACAGAGACAAAGAAUGUUUUGGAGGUAACGCAUGGCCCAAAGCAUUCACUGAUGUUAGAAGUGCAAGAACUGUUCUUGUUACUGUAAACGCUAAAGACACAAGGACAGAGCAACAGAGAGAAAGAUUGAACGGAAACAACAAGAGACUUAAGUGAAUGAACAUGAAUACAAGAAUUUCUCUGUAGCAGUAGAUGACACUGGAAAUACUAAAGAUGGAAGGACAGAGUGACAUUGAGAUCGAGUGAGGUCGAAAGGAAACAACAAGAUACAUAACAAGUUUGAGAAGCUGGCAAACAGUCAAAUCGAAAUGUAGUCAUUGUAGUUUGUACAUCUAGAAAUUUGAACACCAGGGCCCUGUUCUAUAUAAAACUUGUUUUUAAUAUCAUGUUACAAUCAUUGUUAUAAUCAAUCUCUA